Molecule: ribosomal RNA, 440 nt
Filed under: Luniella spinipes
Lineage: Eukaryota; Metazoa; Arthropoda; Malacostraca; Decapoda; Xanthidae
Description: partial 16S ribosomal RNA
Rfam family: Bacterial large subunit ribosomal RNA
Source: RNAcentral
AAAGGUAGCAUAAUCAUUAGGGGUUUAAUUGGAACCUGGUAUGAAGGGUCGGACAAAGGAAAAACUGUCUUUAUAGCUUAAGUUGAAAUUUACUUUUAAGUGAAAAGGCUUAAAUAAAUCAAAGGGACGAUAAGACCCUAUAAAGGUUUAUAGAUAAUUUAAAUUUGGCUGAUUUAAAAAUAAAAGUUGAGUUUAAUUAUUCUAUUUUGUUGGGGUGAUGUGAGUAUAAUUAAUAUUAACUGCUUAUAAAAAAUUCUCUUAUAGGAGAAUCAAUAGUGAAUGAUCCUUUUUAAAGAUUAAAAGACUAAGUUACUUUAGGGAUAACAGCGUUAUUUCUUUUGAGAGUUCAUAUCGAAAAAGAAGAUUGCGACCUCGAUGUUGAAUUAAAAUAUCUAUAUAAUGUAGCCGUUAUAAAAGAGGGUCUGUUCGACCUUUAAAUU